AACAGCUGAUCUUCUUCGAUCCGAAAGCCUGGAUCCAUUUCAAACUCUUUCCCUUGUGGUUGAACUUCGUCCUGGUUGUCCUGUACAGGCUCUAUCGUCGCGGCAACAAGCCCGGGCACAGGACUUUGAGGGAAAGGCAGGGCCGAGGCGAUCACCAUGGCAACCAGGGGAAGCCAGUGCAUCACUCCCAAGACGUGUCAACUAUGAAUAGGGCGUCCAUCUACUUUGAAUGGGUGGCGUCAAGCGCAGAUUAACUGAAUUGUGGAUACGUUGGCGCCGCUUUAGCAGCGUUGCUCGCUGCAGAAGUUGGGAAUUUCUUAACUUUUCAAGCACCAACGGAAGCGUCAGCCAAUCAGAUUGCUUUAUGCAAAUACCCCAGUUCAGACAUUAGCCGACCGCAGACUAAUUUCAUUGGUUGACACUGCUAUGAUAAUCGCGUCAGCCCCAACUUCAGAUACGCUCUCCAUCAAGGGUUGAAACUAAAAAGUGUGAAUCGGUGUUAGCCUACUUGUUCUUAGGUAACGUGUUUUGGCUGAGUGUAAGGAUAGGUUAAUAAAUCUGAUUCUACAUGUUUGAUCGAAUGUUUGCCUUUACUCCUUUAUUGUAUAACAAUAUUGUACUCAAUACUUUUAUAAUUAUUAUUGACUAUUAAAAUUAUAGCUAUAGCUACUGAUUAUUAUAUUCAGCUAUUGGUUAUCUCAUAUUUCACAUGCAUUUCCUGAUAAUGUUUACACAUUUCUGAUAAUGUUUAUUGUGUGCAUAUAGCCUGACAUUAAGUGCGUAUUGCCAAAACUACACAGUGAGCCUGAUGUUUCAUAUUUUUCAAUGAUAAAAGGAGGCAGCUGUUUUGUUAUAUAUUUGCAUACAGUGGUGACAGCCAUAUAAAUAUGUACAUGAUGCCUCAACAUUUUUGGUGUCUGUUAUGUUUAAAUUGUUAAUAUAAAAUGAAAAGAGACAGUG
Danio rerio (zebrafish) is the source of this 960-nucleotide non-coding RNA. Lineage: Eukaryota; Metazoa; Chordata; Actinopteri; Cypriniformes; Danionidae. The record is from RefSeq and is a predicted model, not a curated record.